This 19-nucleotide small RNA is filed under the name Arabidopsis thaliana (thale cress). RNAcentral describes it as "ATSL234470". Lineage: Eukaryota; Viridiplantae; Streptophyta; Magnoliopsida; Brassicales; Brassicaceae. The record is from RNAcentral.
UCCGCUUACGUACGUCUAU